Molecule: transfer RNA, 75 nt
Filed under: archaeon
Lineage: Archaea
Description: tRNA-Arg
Rfam family: tRNA
About the family: Transfer RNA (tRNA) molecules are approximately 80 nucleotides in length. Their secondary structure includes four short double-helical elements and three loops (D, anti-codon, and T loops). Further hydrogen bonds mediate the characteristic L-shaped molecular structure. tRNAs have two regions of fundamental functional importance: the anti-codon, which is responsible for specific mRNA codon recognition, and the 3' end, to which the tRNAs corresponding amino acid is attached (by aminoacyl-tRNA synthetases). tRNAs cope with the degeneracy of the genetic code in two manners: having more than one tRNA (with a specific anti-codon) for a particular amino acid; and 'wobble' base-pairing, i.e. permitting non-standard base-pairing at the 3rd anti-codon position.
Source: RNAcentral
GGGCCCGUAGCACAGUAUGGAUAGCGCGGCAGCCUUCUAAGCUGCAGGUCGUGGGUUCAAAUCCCACCGGGCCCG